RNAcentral lists this ribosomal RNA (496 nucleotides) under uncultured bacterium. Its description in RNAcentral is "partial 16S ribosomal RNA". It matches the Rfam family "Bacterial small subunit ribosomal RNA", at positions 29 to 507 of the family's 1533-position model. The record is from RNAcentral.
AUGAACGCUGGCGGCGUGCCUCAUACAUGCAAGUCGAGCGAACAGAUGAGGAGCUUGCUCCUCUGACGUUAGCGGCGGACGGGUGAGUAACACGUGGAUAACCUACCUAUAAGACUGGGAUAACUUCGGGAAACCGGAGCUAAUAUCGGAUAAUAUAUUGAACCGCAUGGUUCAAUAGUGAAAGACGGUUUUGCUGUCACUUAUAGAUGGAUCCGCGCCGCAUUAGCUAGUUGGUAAGGUAACGGCUUACCAAGGCAACGAUGCGUAGCCGACCUGAGAGGGUGAUCGGCCACACUGGAACUGAGACACGGUCCAGACUCCUACGGGAGGCAGCAGUAGGGAAUCUUCCGCAAUGGGCGAAAGCCUGACGGAGCAACGCCGCGUGAGUGAUGAAGGUCUUCGGAUCGUAAAACUCUGUUAUUAGGGAAGAACAAAUGUGUAAGUAACUAUGCACGUCUUGACGGUACCUAAUCAGAAAGCCACGGCUAACUACGUG